Molecule: ribosomal RNA, 461 nt
Filed under: uncultured Paludibacter sp.
Lineage: Bacteria; Pseudomonadati; Bacteroidota; Bacteroidia; Bacteroidales; Paludibacteraceae
Description: bacterial SSU rRNA
Rfam family: Bacterial small subunit ribosomal RNA
Source: RNAcentral
AUAGGGGAAUAAAGAUGAGUACGCGUACUCAGUUGUAGGUACCCUAAGAAUAAGGAUCGGCUAACUCCGUGCCAGCAGCCGCGGUAAUACGGAGGAUCCGAGCGUUAUCCGGAUUUAUUGGGUUUAAAGGGUGCGUAGGCGGGUUGAUAAGUCAGUGGUGAAAGGUUUGCGCUCAACGUAGACAUUGCCAUUGAAACUGUCAGUCUUGAGUACAAAUGAGGUAGGCGGAAUGUGUUGUGUAGCGGUGAAAUGCAUAGAUAUGACACAGAACACCAAUUGCGAAGGCAGCUUACUGGGAUGUAACUGACGCUGAGGCACGAAAGCGUGGGGAUCAAACAGGAUUAGAUACCCUGGUAGUCCACGCAGUAAACGAUGAUUACUAGCUGUUAGCGAUAGAAUGUUAGUGGCUAAGCGAAAGCGAUAAGUAAUCCACCUGGGGAGUACGACCGCAAGGUUGAAAC